Molecule: ribosomal RNA, 220 nt
Filed under: uncultured bacterium
Lineage: Bacteria
Description: partial 16S ribosomal RNA
Rfam family: Bacterial small subunit ribosomal RNA
Source: RNAcentral
GGCGCACGGGUGAGGAACACGUGGGAAUGUACCCCUUGGUAAGGAAUAACAUCUGGAAACGGAUACUAAUACCUUAUAAUGACUUCGGUCCAAAGAUUUAUCGCCAAGGGAUCAGCCCGCGCAUGAUUAGAUAGUUGGUGAGGUAAUGGCUCACCAAGUCUACGAUCAUUAGCUGGUCUGAGAGGAUGAUCAGCCACACUGGAACUGAGACACGGUCCAG